This 700-nucleotide ribosomal RNA is filed under the name uncultured bacterium. Its description in RNAcentral is "bacterial SSU rRNA". It matches the Rfam family "Bacterial small subunit ribosomal RNA", at positions 11 to 701 of the family's 1533-position model. The record is from RNAcentral.
GUUGGGCCUCGGCUCAGGAUGACGCUGGCGGCGUGCCUAACACAUGCAAGUCGAGCGAGAAACCUGCAGAUGACACUUCGGUAGAUUCAGCAGGCGGAAAGCGGCGGACGGGUGAGUAACGCGUAGGCAACCUGCCCUUCACACAGGGAUAGCCUCGGGAAACCGGGAUUAAAACCUGAUGAUGCAUAACCAUUGCAUAAUGGAUAUGCCAAAGAUUCAUCGGUGAAGGAUGGGCCUGCGUCUGAUUAGUUAGUUGGUGGGGCAACGGCUCACCAAGGCGACGAUCAGUAGCCGACCUGAGAGGGUGAUCGGCCACAUUGGAACUGAGACACGGUCCAGACUCCUACGGGAGGCAGCAGUGGGGAAUAUUGCACAAUGGGGGAAACCCUGAUGCAGCAACGCCGCGUGAAGGAUGAAGGCCCUUGGGUCGUAAACUUCUGUCCUUAGGGAAGAAGCAAGUGACGGUACCUUUGGAGGAAGCCCCGGCUAACUACGUGCCAGCAGCCGCGGUAAUACGUAUGGGGCAAGCGUUAUCCGGAAUUAUUGGGCGUAAAGCGUGCGUUAGGUGGUUUUUUAAGCGCGGGGUUUAAGGCUACGGGCUCAACUGUAGUUCGCCCCGUGAACUGGGGAGACUUUGAGUUACAGGAGAGGAAAGCGGGAAUUCCCUAGUGUACCCGGUGGAAAUGGCUUAGAUAUUUAG